AACCCAUGGUGAGGGCACCUUCUCAAUAAAUCCUUAUACCUCUCCCAUACAUCAUAUAGAGUCUCUAAGUCAAUCAACACGAAGCAAGAGAUAUCAUUCCUCAGCUU
This is a non-coding RNA of Gossypium hirsutum (cotton), 107 nucleotides long. The record is from Rfam. NCBI's taxonomy places the organism in Eukaryota, Viridiplantae, Streptophyta, Magnoliopsida, Malvales, Malvaceae.